This 512-nucleotide ribosomal RNA is filed under the name Timarcha intricata. Its description in RNAcentral is "partial 16S ribosomal RNA". The stretch from base 386 to 512 matches the Rfam family "Archaeal large subunit ribosomal RNA", at positions 2542 to 2669 of the family's 2987-position model. Lineage: Eukaryota; Metazoa; Arthropoda; Insecta; Coleoptera; Chrysomelidae. The record is from RNAcentral.
GUCCUUUUGAUUAUAAUUUUAGGUCUUGCCUGCCCACUGAAAAUUUAAAUGGCCGCGAUAUUUUGAUCGUGCUAAGGUAGCAUAAUAAUUAGUUUUUUAAUUGAAAGCUGGAAUGAAUGGUAGAAUGAAAAAAUAACUGUCUUUAAUUAAUUUUAUUAGAAUUUUAUUUUUAAGUUAAAAAGCUUAAAUAAUAUUAAAAGACGAGAAGACCCUAUAGAGUUUUAUAAUAAUUUUAUUUUAAUAUCUUUAGUAAUAAUAAAAUUAAUUUAUUUAUUAUUAUUAAAUUGGGAUGAUUUAAAAAUUUAACUAACUUUUUAUAUAUAAAUACAUUUAUAAAUGAUUAUUUGAUCCAUUAAUUAUGAUUAUAAGAUUAAAUUACCUUAGGGAUAACAGCGUUAUUUUUUUUUAGAGUUCAAAUCAAAAAAAAAGAUUGCGACCUCGAUGUUGGAUUAAAAUGAAUUUUUGGUGUAGAAGCUAAAAUAUUAGGUCUGUUCGACCUUUAAAAUUUUACA